UACUUAGUGGCAGACGGGUGAGUAACAUGUGGGUAUCUACCCUUUGGCCUGGAAUAACACGAGGAAACUUGUGCUAAUACCGGAUAAGUCUUUACGGAGAAAGCUUUAUGCACCAUUGGAUGAGCCCGCACUUGAUUAGUUUGUUGGUAGGGUAAUGGCCUACCAAGACUAUGAUCAAUAGCUGAUUUGAGAGGAUGAUCAGCCACAUUGGGACUGAGACACGGCCCAAACUCCUACGGGAGGCAGCAGUGGGGAAUCUUGCACAAUGGAGGAAACUCUGAUGCAGCGAUGCCGCGUGAGUGAAGAAGGCCUUUGGGUUGUAAAGCUCUUUCGUCGGGGAAGAAAAUGACUGUACCCGAAUAAGAAGGUCCGGCUAACUUCGUGCCAGCAGCCGCGGUAAUACGAAGGGACCUAGCGUAGUUCGGAAUUACUGGGCUUAAAG
This 442-nucleotide ribosomal RNA is filed under the name uncultured bacterium. RNAcentral's name for it is "bacterial SSU rRNA". It matches the Rfam family "Bacterial small subunit ribosomal RNA", at positions 89 to 565 of the family's 1533-position model. The record is from RNAcentral.